This 475-nucleotide ribosomal RNA is filed under the name uncultured organism. Its description in RNAcentral is "partial 16S ribosomal RNA". It matches the Rfam family "Bacterial small subunit ribosomal RNA", at positions 333 to 799 of the family's 1533-position model. The record is from RNAcentral.
ACACUCCUACGGGAGGCAGCAGUGGGGAAUAUUGCACAAUGGGCGCAAGCCUGAUGCAGCCAUGCCGCGUGUAUGAAGAAGGCCUUCGGGUUGUAAAGUACUUUCAGCGGGGAGGAAGGCGAUAAGGUUAAUAACCUUGUCGAUUGACGUUACCCGCAGAAGAAGCACCGGCUAACUCCGUGCCAGCAGCCGCGGUAAUACGGAGGGUGCAAGCGUUAAUCGGAAUUACUGGGCGUAAAGCGCACGCAGGCGGUCUGUCAAGUCGGAUGUGAAAUCCCCGGGCUCAACCUGGGAACUGCAUUCGAAACUGGCAGGCUAGAGUCUUGUAGAGGGGGGUAGAAUUCCAGGUGUAGCGGUGAAAUGCGUAGAGAUCUGGAGGAAUACCGGUGGCGAAGGCGGCCCCCUGGACAAAGACUGACGCUCAGGUGCGAAAGCGUGGGGAGCAAACAGGAUUAGAUACCCCAGUAGUCCCAUG